AAAUAGAACAGUAUCAAAAUAAUAUUUCUUAUUAAAAGGGGCUAAGAUAUUCCUUGAAUAAUAUAAUCUCCUAAAUAAAAUGGCAUAGUUCGAAGACUUGGUUUAAGUCAUGAGGUACAAGUGUAUUGAAAUUAAAACAAAAUUUCAUCUGUUUGAUCAUCUUGUUGUAGUCAUCCCCUCACCAAUCUCUCUUUACUAGUUUAAGAACACAAAAGAACAAGCCUUCGGGAUUCC
Non-coding RNA from Pelobates cultripes (western spadefoot toad), 234 nucleotides. NCBI's taxonomy places the organism in Eukaryota, Metazoa, Chordata, Amphibia, Anura, Pelobatidae. The record is from the annotation of a GenBank genome assembly.